RNAcentral lists this long non-coding RNA (5204 nucleotides) under Canis lupus familiaris (dog). Its description in RNAcentral is "lncRNA (ENSCAFG00030005769.1)". The record is from RNAcentral. Lineage: Eukaryota; Metazoa; Chordata; Mammalia; Carnivora; Canidae.
AUGCGUGCUUAUGAGAGAUUUCUGUCUUCUUCAUGGACUUUGCUCUAUUUCCCCAGCUUCUCACGUUACAGACACGUACUAGUUAGUGUUCAGCGCACGGGAUCCAGGCCACGGCCAGGCAGGAGGAGGCGGCCUGUACCUCCGCGCCCUGGGCUGACUUUCAGGCCUGGGACAAGCCCCAGGGGCCCCCGCUGCCUUGUGCCAGCCGGACCAGGAGCACAGCGGCACCGGGUCAAGGGAGGCCACACGCGUGGCCAGCGUCCCUCUGCCAGGUUCGCAGGAAGGAGCCCUAUACCUGGGCUGCGCGCCUGGAGGCCGACUGACAUCUCAGACACGGCAGGUGCCUGCUGCGCGCUGUUAUCCGUGUCACGGUCCAGCCUGAGGUCUUCUGCGACGAUGAGGGGUUCGAGUCCCGGUGGAUGAUGUUGUAUAGCAGGGAGCCAGAGGGCAACCCUGCAGCGCCAGAACUCUGCAGGCCCGGCCAGGUAACGAGCCACCUGGUGCCAGCUGCCUGUGGGGCUGCAGCGCGCCUUUCCCGCAUCCAUCGCUGCCCAGAGGUGUGAUCACUGCCCAUUUUUGCUCCAGCAAAGAGGCCCCGGGAGAGCGUGGCUGCAGGUGGAGACCCCACCCAAUUAAGCUUCGGCAAAUCCCCUGCAGUGCCCUGGGACCCUUAGGUCGCUUCGAAGCCCAAACCAGAUAGAAUUUCAAUCACUGUCUCUGUCUUUUUGAGGCUCGACGUUAAAGACGGUAUCUCUGAUUUCCACAGGGAUGUGGCAAUGCUUUGACACUUUUUGCAAGGAGAGGGAGCUUCGGAGACAUCCGCUUUGCUGGGUUUUACUGUGAGCUGGGAAGCCAGAGCCAAACCAGCCAAAUAGCCCAGAAAUUCCCCCAAGGCCCAGAAUCCUGAAUCCACAAGGCCCAUGUAUGAUGGAAGCUUUCAAAAAUAUGUUUUAUCCUGACUCCUGUAAACCAGGGUCCAGACUGGUGGGCCGUAGCCACUAGACCCUACUAACGGGUCCUUGGUCAUUAGAGCUCAGGAUUAGUGUCAGAUAAUCCCCCCAAAGUGUUGGCGCUUCGUUGCCCACUCCAUGGUUCCCCGUUAGGGCCACAGGUCGCUCGGGAGGCAGUUGGGCAGGUUUACAACGUUAACCUGUAGUGUCACUGACCUGCAGUGUUAUCUCUGGGAACUUCCUCAAGAAUUCCAGGAACUCUGAGGCCUUCGGGGUGGAGGAAGCACCGUGACUCUCCACCCUGAGGAGUCAGGCCGGGUCUCUGCUUGUGGGGCUGGAAGUUUCUUCGGUCAUAUGGAUCAAGGAGGCUGGACUUUAGCACCAGUUUGUGUACUUAGGUCCUGGGACUCCUGUGAUCAGUGGAAGACUUCUGCAGGCCGGCCCCGUGAUCGCCACUUGGUCCUGCUGCACAUCUCAGGAAGACGUCCCCUGGCCCCUCAGGGUUCCCAUCACCCCCUCUGAAAUCAGAGAGCCCUUCUCAGGGCAGCAAACCUUAGGCUGUCCCAGCAGCCCCUGGGGAUGGAGAGGGUGGAUAUUCACUUCAUCUCUCUUCAAGGACACUGAUGAUAACCUUGACAACUCCUCUCAAGCAGGUAAAGGGACUGUGUCCACCUGGGGGUGAGGGGGGGGCGAGGGGUGGAGGAGGGGACGGGUGUUGUGGAUUCUUUUUUUUUUUUAAAGAUUUUAUUUAUUUAUUCAUGAGAGACACACAGAGAGAGGCAGAGAGAGGAAGAGGAAGAAGCAGGCUCCAUGCAGGGAGCCCGAUGUGGUACUCGAUCCCGGAACCCCGGGAUCACGCCCUGGGCCGAAGGCAGGUGCUCAACCGCUGAGCCACCCAGGCAUCCCCGGAGCUGUGGAUUCUUUGCUCCACAUCAGUGCAAGGAACCUCGGAAAGCUUCCUUUCCUUUAUCUUGGGCUCGCACCAAGUCCACGUUCCGGUCCGUGGCUGAGCCAACAGCCCCACUCUCAGCUCACUCCCUGCGGGUCUCCCGAGUUUCGCUAAGUGCAGCUGUACUAAUAAAAUAAGCGCUAAUAUUCUCAAAUCCAUUCUCACAUAGAUUCCCUGAGUUUGGGAUUAAAUAAACAGGCAAAUACUGGGGGUUUGGGUAGGGGAAGGUACAUACCCUCCUGUUUCCUGAGGAUUGGGCUCCUCUCUGUCAUCUUGCAUGGUGACAGGUGGACAGGCGACAAGGGCUGCCGAGUGAGGAGGAGAUGAGAGGUCCAGCUUUAUCAGCUGGGAGGGGGCUUUGUGGGCUCCGGGGCUUUGGGAAUCUCAGCAACAUUCCCAAGGUGCCCAAACUAUGCCCAAGGUUCUGGCACUUUCCUUUAAGAGGCCUGGAGGGGCUAGGAGUUUGCUCUGUGUUAAAGUCAGACUCUGUUUUGUUUUGUUAAAAAUGAAAUGUCAAGUGAAUCCUUUUUUUUUUUUUUUAAGAUUUAUUUAUUCAUUUUAGGGGAAGGAUGGGCAGAGGGAGAGACAGAGGUACAGAAGCAGACUCCCUGCUGAGUGCAGAGCCCCGGGCGGGGCUCGAUCCCACCACCCUGAGAUCAUGACCUGAGCCGAAAUCAAGAGUCCGGCACUCAAUCAGCGGAGUCCCCCAGGCGCCCCUCUGCUCAGUUUUGAGUGACGUUAGCCACGGCUGCAAAGACAAGCUCUCUGAUUCUGUUAACAUGCCGUAAGCCUCACUGCUUUCUCCAAACUCUGCUCAUAAUUAAGAGCGGCAGCCCCCACGGCUCACGCCCUUCACACUGGUUCACCCCUGCGGCCACUCGGGCGACCGCCGCUGGGCUCCGAGCCCUUCAUUCCAGGUGACCACAGGCUGUGACCUCGGUCACUGUGGCUCCACUGUGGGCCACACUCCCGCCUGUAAUGCCGGCGGGGCUGCUCGGCCUGCAGCCCUAGCCAAUGCCAGAUCCCUCUUCCCGAGGGUCUGCUCUCAGGGCGCAGACAGCAGAGGCCACCGUCGCUAGGAGACGGAGGCUUGGAGCUUCUGAGGGAACAGGGGCCAGGUUGGAUGUCACCACCCAGGAGUAGCACCCAUGGGGGAGACACUUAAGGGCUUCCCGAAGAAACCUGUCAGCAGGCAGGCUUGUCCCCCCAUUGGGGCAUAGCCCCAACCUGGCGUCGGAGUCCCGGGCCCAGCUCAUGGCCUCUCUCUCUCUCUCUCUCUCUCUCUCCUCUCUCUAUCUCAUUCUUCAUGCGGCCUCUCCAGUCUGGGCAGGGGGACAGCCAAGCCGCAGGCACGGACAGGCCGACACGGAGGGACGUGGGUGGGCAGAUCGGCUGCGAGGCUGGAGGGCAGAGCCCGGUCCCCCGGGGAUCACAGACCCAGCGUGGGGAGGGAGGACCCCCGGCGGGGGAUCCAGGCCUGCAGAGGCCCCCGGGGCAGGAUGAGCCCCGUGUGCCCUUGGGGCCUGUCCAGGGAGGCAAGCACCCUCCUGUCUGCUGCGACCCUUCUUGCCCUUCCAGGGACUGGACGCAGGGCCUGCUCGUUCUCUCGUCGGUCACCCAUCAGAGAUGAUCUCGGGGACAGCCCCGCGGAGCGUGAGGAGCCACGAGUCAGCAGGGCCUCAUCCCCUGCGGCGGCUUCUCUGGGCCUCCCCGCUCCCCCUGCCUCCUGCACCCCCACUGAUGUGCCCUGUGCUCCUCUCUGGGGGGCCCGGGGGCUCCCGUCAGACAAGCAGCCACCUGCCUCUCCCCCAGCUGCCCGGGGCCCCCCCUCUCCUUCCCAUCUUCAAGCGGCUCUAAAGCACGGCCUGUUCGGACGAGGCCAGGCGCCCGAGGACAGCAGUCUCCGCCGUUAGGCAGACGUGGGUUCAAAUUCUGGCUCUGCCUCUGCUCACGGGCUCUAUCACCCCAGGCGAGUGACUCAGCCUGAGUCCCAGGUGUCUGACCGAGAAAAGCGGGGAGCAAGGGACGAGCGGCAGGACUGCUGUCGACAAGAAAGGAGCCGCACCCGUGCAGUGGCUGCCACCGUCCCACCCACGGGGCAGGUGGUAAUCCUGACGACACGUCUGGAUAGUCUCUUCAGCCCUCAGGGUGGCUCUAGGCCCCCUGCUCUGAUGGAGAGGCUGAGGCUCAGGCACCUUCUCCAGGGUGGAGGCCGGAAGCUCACAUAGGCCGUCUGGCCCAGGAUCUGCGUCCACUCCUGCCUGGAGCUUCUCUGUCCCCACCCAGGUGGGGCCUCCAGAGACACUGUGGUCCCUCCUGGCCUUAGGCCACUGACAUCUGCGCAUCUUCCCUGGUCCCUGCUGGGUCCCACCUGGCCCAGCCCUUGCCUGCUGCAGAAGCCCUUGGAAAGAACACCCCUGCCACCUCCUGACAGAUGCUCAGCGAGGUCACAGAACCCACGGGAGGGCAGAUCCACCUGGCUUCACGCCGCACUUGGUGUCUCCAGCCCACGUGCUUGGUGCCCUUCGCAAGGUGUCAAGCUCACGGCCCCGACGCACCACCUUGAAGAAGCAGAGCAUCCCCAGGUUGCUGGCCUGUAGCUGGCCCGUCCUGGGAGACCUAGGAGGCGGGGGUGCUGUCCCGACUCACGCGUGGGGAACCCAAGGUCGAGGGAGCUCUGAGCCUUUGCCAAAGUCACACAGCUGGUGCCGACCGAGGGCCUUCCUGCCUCUUGCUGGUCGGCUGGCAUCUGUGCUGUGCUGCAGAGCCGUCUUCCUGCCCAGGCCCUGCGCUGGAAUCACGGGGGCGGGGUGGGGGGUGGGGACCAGAUUCUCAUCCCACUAAGUCAGGGUCUCUGGGGCGGGGCCCAUGCAUUGGUGUCGCCUUUUCAAUCCCCGGGGGAUUCCAGCGUGCAGCCUUGGUUCCUGGCCCUGCCAUUCCCACGGGGAGCGGGAUUACCCCGAAUCACGCACCGGCUUGAAGGCUUGAGAACAAAUCGUGCGUGUGGAGGACGUCUCUGGAAAGACUGGGGAUAGAUCGGGGCCAGAGAUCUUUUUGAAAUCCUGAGUUCAUCUGGGGACACGGGCCUCUGUCUAACCAGCUCAGAAACGGCCGAGCAAGACAAGACACAUAAGCACGUAGGGCUUUGAUGAGGACAAAAGAACUGGAAUAUUAACACAAGAAAGAACAACCCCCCCCCCCCCCCCCCCCCCGCCCAGAAAAAAGAAAGAAAAGAACAAAGCCUCCUGGAUUAAGCCUGCAGAGUGCACAUUUGCUCCAAAGGCAGCCCCGGGAGGUUUCCAUCU